This 345-nucleotide long non-coding RNA is filed under the name Musa acuminata (dwarf banana). RNAcentral describes it as "long non-coding RNA (MACU_LNC002201)". The record is from RNAcentral. Lineage: Eukaryota; Viridiplantae; Streptophyta; Magnoliopsida; Zingiberales; Musaceae.
ACGAAUCACGCAAAGAUAGGAACAAGCGAGAUGAAUUCUUUUAUUCCCACAGGUUCCUGUGGUUUGCAGGCAUGCAUCUCUCCUUGUGGAUUCACCAAGCUUUACAUAUUCACAGUUACUACAGAGUCUACAAACCUUUCUAUCACAAAAUCUCAACAAACACUACAACUAUACCUUCAAAGCUUAUUCAGAUCACAGGUCUUCUCCAUCAGCUCUGCUCCGAUUGCUCGUGUGUUUACCGGCACCGGCCUCCACAUGAAGAAGCACUGAGUGCCGCGGAUGGUGUUCUGGCGCUUGCUGUGGAGAAGAGAUUGAUGGAAGCUUCUGCGGAGUACAUACUACUGU